AAUGGAGGCAACUCUGACGCAGCCAUGCCGCGUGCAGGAUGAAGGCGCUACGCGUUGUAAACUGCUUUUAACCGGGAAGAAACCCCAGGACGUGUCCUGGGUUGACGGUACCGGAGGAAUAAGCACCGGCUAACUUCGUGCCAGCAGCCGCGGUAAUACGAAGGGUGCAAGCGUUAUCCGGAUUCAUUGGGUUUAAAGGGUGCGUAGGCGGGGUGGUAAGUCAGUGGUGAAAUCCUGCAGCUCAACUGUAGAAUUGCCAUUGAUACUGCCGCUCUUGAGUGUGGUUGACGUGGGCGGAAUGUGCCGUGUAGCGGUGAAAUGCUUAGAUAUGGCACAGAACACCGAUCGCGAAGGCAGCUCGCGAAGCCACAACUGACGCUGAGGCACGAAAGCGUGGGGAUCGAA
RNAcentral lists this ribosomal RNA (405 nucleotides) under uncultured bacterium. RNAcentral's name for it is "bacterial SSU rRNA". It matches the Rfam family "Bacterial small subunit ribosomal RNA", at positions 370 to 772 of the family's 1533-position model. The record is from RNAcentral.